UACGUAGGGUGCGAGCGUUAAUCGGAAUUACUGGGCGUAAAGCGUGCGCAGGCGGUUAUUUAAGUCAGGGGUGAAAUCCCCGGGCUCAACCUGGGAACUGCAUUUGUGACUGCAUCGCUGGAGUGCGGCAGAGGGGGAUGGAAUUCCGCGUGUAGCAGUGAAAUGCGUAGAUAUGCGGAGGAACACCGAUGGCGAAGGCAAUCCCCUGGGCCUGCACUGACGCUCAUGCACGAAAGCGUGGGGAGCAAACAGG
RNAcentral lists this ribosomal RNA (253 nucleotides) under uncultured bacterium. RNAcentral describes it as "partial 16S ribosomal RNA". It matches the Rfam family "Bacterial small subunit ribosomal RNA", at positions 524 to 776 of the family's 1533-position model. The record is from RNAcentral.